CCUUGGCACGUUUAUACUCCUCCCAUCCAAUAAUGCAGCACAAAUCAGAGGGAGGAGCCAGCUGACUGGCAGCUCGAAGACUGACAGGUACUUCCUGAGUAGGCUGAUGGUGUGAAGAGAAAAGACCUGGCAACCUGUGGGUUAGUAAGAUAAAAGUUCAUGGCAAGUCGAUUUCAACAAUACUUGCAUUAAAUGAGAAAUUAUACACUUAUGACUUAAAUAACACAAUCUGUGUGACUGUUUGUAAUACAACAAUCAAUUUAUUUACAUAUAAACCUGAUACAGUAUAUUUGAAUACUUCUGUUGUUUUUUAUAUAAAAUUUGGACAUGUGUAUUUAAAAAACUAAACGAUUUUUUAACACUAUUUAAUCCAAAAUGACUAAUAAUCUGAAAAAAGAGAAACAUCAUUUAACGAAAGAAAGACAGAAAGAAAUAAAGAAAGGGAAAGUUCUAGAAAGAGCUUGUCUGGAGAUUUAGCAGCUGUGUUAAGUAAAACAAGAUCUCGAAAAUGAUGGGAAAACACCGGAUUAACCUGUGGCUAACCUGUUUAGUAUGAAUGACAACCAAAUGCACAAUAUCCACAUUCCUGUACCACAGUUCUGGAUAACAACGUCAUGUUGAAGGGGUCAUAUGACACGGCUAAAACAAAUAUUAUCGUUUGUUUUAGAUGUACUGCAAUGUCUAUACAUGAUUUAAGGUUCACAUACCCAGCAUGUUUAUGUCUACUCUUCGCCCCACCUAUCUGAAACGCACAGAUUUUUUACAAAGCUCUUCGCUCUGCCAAGCGAGUUGUGCAAUGAUUGGCCAGUUAACCAGUGCGUAUUGAUUGGUCGAAUACUGCAAGCCUAUGAUGGAAAUGUUACACCUCUUAACAAAUUUGCAAAAUCAGGUUACAAAGCAAUGGACUACUUGCACGUAGUCUUCCGAGUUUCUAUAUGCAGAGAUCAUGGUAGAUUAUUUCCAUAUUUAGAGUGAUCUCUUCAUUAAAACAAAAAAUCCUGUUUGAAAUGUUAACAUGCUUUGAUGUGGGUCUUUAUGACAGAUCUUAAAUUAGCAGAAGUUCACCUCCUAAUAUGUUUUUUAAAUGUAUACUCAUCUACCAAAUAAUAGAGUAUUUUAAAAUACUCAGUAUUUGCUCUAUCUGUUCAGAUAGAGCAGAUUUAAUGCCAAACAAAUACCUUAACUGUGCAAUUUUUUUCUGGCAUUUAUCCUUAAACGUUAUAACUAUACUUUUUAUAGCUAUUGACCAAAAAAAUUGCAUUGCAUUUGUCGAUAAAAAAAGGCCCAACAUAGUGAUCCAAACAUUUAAUAACGAGUACGUUCGUGCUCUCUCACGCAUGAAACAUGGCGGUUUUUAAAAUCUGUAGUUGUUUAAACCAAACAGUGCUGCUAUGAUUCCCUGUUAGUCUCCUUCAGCCUUCCGUGAUUUGAGUCCGGAGGUAAAAUGUCUGCAACUGAGCUGUGUGUAAGGAGAAAAAGUGAAACGCUAUCGUUCACCUGCCAUUACUUUCUGUGAUCUUUUGAAGAUUUUGUACCUAGUGAUGUUUGGAAUAUUUCUUCUUAUGUCGCUGAUAAUGUAUGUACAUAUAUAUUGUAUAUUUAACCGUUUAGGUUUCACAAUGAGAAACAGGCCAUAGUUAAUACAUAUAACCGGAAACAAGUGAGUCGUACGAUUUCAAGUCGAAAGUAAGUCACGAGGCUACUUGCAGGUAGUCCAUUGUACUGACAGGCAUGCACAUCUUACUUGCUAGUACAUUUGGGCGGUCUUAGUCAAAUCAUACCUUGAACUGACGUAGAUUUGUGGGGGUGUGGUUACACGAGGCGUUUCAGGCAGGUCUGGGUAAGCAUUUGCUUUUAGGUAGAAAGCAUCUUUUUUCUCGACACUUGAAUUUUUGCAAUAUAUAAUACAUGGAUGGGCUGCUUACAACACACCAAAGACACAGAAAAACACUUAUUCGCGCCAUAUGACCCCUUUAAGAUUUUUUUCAGACUUAAUAAGAAUGUGUUAACAAAGAGAGCCCCUCAGAUAAAAGCACUACUUUACCACUACUAAACCCAUGCAGCUAUAGAUGGACGCAUACCGACCCCUAGUGGUCUGCGUGUCAAACUUAUUACUUCAAUUACAGUUCACAGCUUUGUAAUUAGUUAGGUGGGUUUUGUCAUAUUGUGCAUUGCUUUCACACACAUGGAGAUGUUCUUAAUCCACCAUCACCAAUGUGCCUCGAAGCCCAUAAAAACAGGUCUCGCCUGGGGUGCUGUCCUCUUCAGUGCACUUGUGUCUGUAUAAUAAAUUGUAUAAUAAUGGUUUCCUUUUGGAACCAUACAAUACAAAAACAACUUGAAUGUGCAUAGUUGAGAUACUAAAUCAUGGGUCUUCACGUUGAUGCACUUCAUUAAGCAAACCAGUAGGUGGUGUAUUUGGCCCAGAAAACACAUUAUUGAUGCAACCAAAGAGAUGUGUCCAAUCAGAUAAUCACUGAAUUAACAUUUAACAUAAUGUAAUGAGAUUUACCUAAAGGUAGUCUUCCAGAAGAAGCCAGAUGACUGUUGCCAAAGACAUAAAGGAAAGAACAAAGUAUGAUGAAUGUAACAUUCUUAUUAGUCACAUGAGCUAAUAAUUAACAAAAAAAAUGCAAAAAUGAACCGCAAACACAGAGUUUGUAAACAUUGUGGCUCUUGAGGCAAAACUUUAAACUAAUAAUAAAUUAAACUGUUUACGAUAUGUGUAGAACUGGCAUGCUAUCGAUAAUCAAAUUUUUUUAAAUCAUGUUUAUUGUCAAUGCUUGUAUGUUGUGACACCCCUUAAUUACUUUAUGCAUGAACUGUGUAUUGUAUGAUAUUUCAUCAACAACCAAAAAUAUGGUACAUUAACAAUCCUUUUUAAGCAAACUAUCAAGUCAUAUUUCUAGCAAGAAAUAACCUUCUUGGUCAAUAAACCUAAAUUUUGAUAGUGAUUUUUACAUAACAAAGAUUUAUUUGUCUUGGGUUUUACUCUCUUUCUCCUCCAUUGUCUGUCUUUUAAACACACACACACAUCCUGAGGUCUGGGGUUUUCUCAGAUUAGAACACUAAAUCCAUAUCCAGUUCCUGGAAUUCUCUAUGAUGUCCUGGCUCUCCCGGUCACACCACCUGUGCAGGCCCAGCUCAGCCUGAGAUGACCCAGUCCCAGCGCCAACUUAACAAACACUGUCUGCAUCCUUCUCCCUCUUGUUUUCAUAACAAGAUAAAGUUAUUUACAAUACUCCAAGCAUGACCCUUAACCCAAUUCUUUCACAAACCUGUUCAUAUUCAAUUUAAAGCAAUUUUUGAUGGAAUUCUGCUAAAUUAUGAGCCCAACUAUAUAUUAGUUGAUAUAUAUAUAUAUUAGUACACAGUGAUAUAUUUCUUCCUAAUCCUUAACAUAGCACCUAUAAAUAUGGACACCAGCAGACAUAAAACGAAAUAUGAUUUGGCUUGUUUAUGAAAAUUUGUUAAAUGUUUUACAGCUUAAAACAUCAUUGCAUUAAUAUACAGGGCUUCAAGACUGGCUCAGUUUCUUACAACCAUGCAUUUAUGCAUCAGCACAAAUAUUUCUUUAUCAACCGUUGUUUGCAUGUCUCCAUCAUUAGUAUUGAUUGAAAUUAAACUUCUGUAAGUCUGUUGGAAUCUGUGUAAUGCGAGGAAGUUUGUGUAGCUGUGGUACAUCUAGAAGUGUUCUGCGAUGUAAUAAUAUAAUUUGUGUGGUUUGUGUAAAAGAGUAUGUAUAAUGUAUCUGAAUGUCUAACUUGAUUAUGUCAAAUUUGGUCUAGAUACAGUGUAAAAAUGGACAAAUGUGCUUACGGUUUACUUAAGGUUCUUAAUUUCUACAUGUACCAUUAUAGAAUAUGUUUUUCUCUGUAAAUGCUAUGCUAGCAAAGAAGAUCAUCGGGAAAUACCCAGUCAAAAACUUGUUCCUUUACAUUAUAAAAGGCGGAGGUAAGAAAGGUAAAAAAACUGCAUGAGUUGAGCAACAAAACAGAAAUACAUUACCACAUACAGUGAUGCUGACUCAGCAAGAAAUUUGUUACGUUGUCUAAACUUGUUUGAAUUUGAACAGUAUGAAUUUCCUGCUCUGAAAGGUUUUACCCAUAUAGCCAAGUUGUUUACUAGCAAACUUGACCCAGAUUAAAGACCACCAUCCAAAACACAACAAACAUCCUGUUUCAAUUGAGGAUAUUGAAGCCAUUUCCCUUUUUAUCUAUCCCCUCUGUAAGGAUACAGUAAGUAUUGUUUAAAAGUAAGAUCACAACAGUAUAAAUGCAAAAGCAGGCCUACCUCAGAAAGCUUUGUAUUGUUUUGCUACCAUUAGUUAUAAAUAGUGGUUUAUAUGGGGCAAACCUAUUAAAGGGAUGAUUCAAAAGAAAGAUAUAUAGGAAAAUGUUGGCAACUAUAUUUGAGGCACCAUUGACUACAAUAGUAGAACAAUUUAAAUGGUAGUCAAAGUUUUUAUAAAUUCUUCAAAAUAUCUCAUUUUGUGUUCAACAUAAGAACAAAGAAAGUUAUACAAGUUUGGGACAACUUGAAGGUGAGUAAAUGAUGAAAAAAAUUUCAUUGGGUGAACUAUCCCUUUAAACGGAUAUUUCACAGGCAAUUCAGAAUGGCUGAAUAUGACUUUCUUCUUGAAGAAUAAUGCAGUCGAAGUUAUAAUACCAUGUAUCAUUUUACUUCCAAGCGGUGGAAUGGGAGUGAAUGGGCAUCGACUUUUAUAAGUUCCAAGAAGUGGAUCCAUCCAUCAAAUAACUGCUCGACGUGGCUCCAUAGUCUUACCAAAGGUCUUCUGAAGCAAAUCAUUGCGUUUAUUUGGAGAAAUAUACAUACUGACAGCGCUUGUAACGUUGCUGAAAAAACAAGCCUCAGGUGCAUCCGAGGGAUAACAGAAGCUAGACAUCAACGUUUCAAAAAUCAAAAAUUUUGAUUUGCUUGUGAAAUAUCACUUUAAGUUAUAAAUCUAUAAGCAUCCUGUUGUUGACAAGUUCAUUUCUGCAUUAUAUGACAUCAUUAUGCAGGUACCUGAGGGCCUUAUAGAUGACAGUAUGAUUGGCAUGUCCACUUACACCUCUUCCAUCAAAUGUUAGGACCUGCGGGGACACAGCAUAAACCAGAGUUUCUACCCACUGAAGAACAGAGUGAAAAGGUUGAAAAAAGACAAUAAACAAACAAAGAACAGAACUAGUCAUUUGAGGACCCAGCAGUUUAGAUGGUGGCGGGUAUUGCCAGGACCUUGCGGAAACAUCUAACUGUGUAUUGUCUCUCACAUCACCAGAUGAGAGAUUUUGUCUUCGGAAACGGCUGGUUUUAUAAACUGCUGCAGCUCAAAAGUGCCAAGGGUGGAGGAAAAUAUGGUUGACAAAAUAAUAUGUUGUAUAAGGUAUGUAGAUUGUUGCCAAAGACAAUGAGGUGAAUGAGUCAGCUUAGACGAGCACAUCAGCAUAUCAUUGAAGAGGAACUCCAAACAUUGUGCACAGAACGGAGAAAGAUUGAAAGGAAGUGACUUAUUUGUCUAAAAGAAGAUCAAUGGAAGAACAUGCUUAAACACUUUGAUCACUCGACAAUAAAAACUUCAAUGAACUUUA
This is a long non-coding RNA of Triplophysa dalaica, 5591 nucleotides long. RefSeq lists it as uncharacterized. NCBI's taxonomy places the organism in Eukaryota, Metazoa, Chordata, Actinopteri, Cypriniformes, Nemacheilidae. The record is from RefSeq and is a predicted model, not a curated record. The transcript is spliced from 2 exons.